RNAcentral lists this unclassified non-coding RNA (307 nucleotides) under plant metagenome. RNAcentral describes it as "partial contains 5.8S ribosomal RNA, internal transcribed spacer 2, and large subunit ribosomal RNA". The stretch from base 1 to 105 matches the Rfam family "5.8S ribosomal RNA", at positions 50 to 154 of the family's 154-position model. The record is from RNAcentral.
GAAAUGCGAUAAGUAAUGUGAAUUGCAGAAUUCAGUGAAUCAUCGAAUCUUUGAACGCACAUUGCGCCCGCCAGCACUCUGGCGGGCAUGCCUGUUCGAGCGUCAUUUCAACCCUCAGAACCCCUUGCGGGAUCUGGCGUUGGGGAUUGGCAUCCAGCCGGCCCCGAAAUCUAGUGGCGGUCCCUCCGCGACCUCCCCUGUGCAGUAGCGAUACCUCGCAGCGGGACAGCGGUCUGACCACGCCGUAAAACCCCCAACUUCUCAAGGUUGACCUCGAAUCAGGUAGGAAUACCCGCUCAACUUAAGC